ACAAGUACCGUGAGGGAAAGUUGCAAAGCACUUUGAAGAGAGAGUUAAAGAGGACGUGAAACCGGUAAGGUGGAAACGGAUAGAGUCGGCGUAUCAUUCAAUUAUUCAGUUACAUUAUUUUUAUGUUGUGACCUCUGAGCUCCAGAUUGGGACAGAGGGAAUCAGCAUAAUUUUUUGUGGUGCAUUUACUUGAUUGGUGCUUGGGGAUGUUUGAGGCAGAUUUGUUUCCGUCGUUUUGAGGCCAGCUUGCUGGUACCCAAACGGUGUUAGCAUUUUUUGUCUUGGGCAUUUGAGUAUGGCUCACGUGUAUUUAUUGAACAGAUCUGAGUGUAAGUUACGGUCGCAUGCGACACGUGCUUUUCAAUUAGUUCGGUCCAGUUAAUGCUCUCGUACUCGUUCCCCAUGUAAAAGCCGGUCAUCUAUCCGACCCGUCUUGAAACACGGACCAAGGAGUUUAUCGUGUGCGCAAGUUUUUGGGUGUUAAAAACUUAAAAGCGAAAUGAAAGUAAAUGACUCUUUAGAGUCUGAUGUGCGAUCUUGUAAAAAAGUGUAGCAUGGCCCCAUUCUAACUGUUUACAGUAGGGUGGCGGAAGAGCGUACGCGGUGAGACCCGAAAGAUGGUGAACUAUUCCUGAGCAGGACGAAGCCAGAGGAAACUCUGGUGGAAGUCCGAAGCGGUUCUGACGUGCAAAUCGAUCGUCUGACUUGGGUAUAGGGGCGAAAGACUAAUCGAACCAUCUAGUAGCUGGUUCCUUCCGA
Molecule: ribosomal RNA, 759 nt
Filed under: Meloidogyne javanica (root-knot nematode)
Lineage: Eukaryota; Metazoa; Nematoda; Chromadorea; Rhabditida; Meloidogynidae
Description: partial large subunit ribosomal RNA
Rfam family: Eukaryotic large subunit ribosomal RNA
Source: RNAcentral